Molecule: ribosomal RNA, 506 nt
Filed under: uncultured bacterium
Lineage: Bacteria
Description: partial 16S ribosomal RNA
Rfam family: Bacterial small subunit ribosomal RNA
Source: RNAcentral
GAUGAACGCUAGCUACAGGCUUAACACAUGCAAGUCGAGGGGUAACGAGAGGAAAGCUUGCUUUCCUUGUCGACGACCGGCGCACGGGUGAGUAACGCGUAUCCAACCUGCCCCCAACUAGGGAAUCACAUUGCGAAAGUAAGACUAAUAACCUCUAAUUUCCUCAGAUGUCAUCUGACCAGGAAUAAAGAUUUAUCGGUUGUGGAUGGGGAUGCGUCUGAUUAGCUUGUUGGCGGGGUAACGGCCCACCAAGGCAACGAUCAGUAGGGGUUCUGAGAGGAAGGUACCCCACAUUGGAACUGAGACACGGUCCAAACUCCUACGGGAGGCAGCAGUGAGGAAUAUUGGUCAAUGGGCGGAAGCCUGAACCAGCCAAGUAGCGUGCAGGAUGACGGCCCUAUGGGUUGUAAACUGCUUUUAUACAGGAAUAAAGUUAGCCACGUGUGGUUAUUUGUAGGUACUGUAUGAAUAAGGACCGGCUAAUUCCGUGCCAGCAGCCGCGGUAA